RNAcentral lists this long non-coding RNA (329 nucleotides) under Setaria viridis. Its description in RNAcentral is "long non-coding RNA (SVIR_LNC003686)". Lineage: Eukaryota; Viridiplantae; Streptophyta; Magnoliopsida; Poales; Poaceae. The record is from RNAcentral.
UUUAAUUUUUCAUUUUCAUAUGACUUUUACUAAACGAGUUUGCGUCUCAACUUUUGUAACAAAUUAGGUACAUCUAUGGAUGGAUUAUAGAUAUGCAGUGUUUCAAAUUUUAAGGAGACUUCUAAGUAUGGUUUUUAGGGAAGUUUUAACAUUUUCACCGAGGAGGUGGUUUCCAAUGAAUAAUUCCCCAAAUAGCAUUACUUCAAUGACAGGCAUUUAAUCAUGGUGUUGAACCGGUGGAGGAUUUACAUAUACCAUUAGUUUGCCCUGUUUAAUCAGCGAAUCGCAUUGUUAUAUCCAACCAACCACCUUCAAUUAUCAUAUUUUCC